Molecule: ribosomal RNA, 596 nt
Filed under: Pseudomonas plecoglossicida
Lineage: Bacteria; Pseudomonadati; Pseudomonadota; Gammaproteobacteria; Pseudomonadales; Pseudomonadaceae
Description: bacterial SSU rRNA
Rfam family: Bacterial small subunit ribosomal RNA
Source: RNAcentral
UGCAGUCGAGCGGAUGACGGGAGCUUGCUCCUUGAUUCAGCGGCGGACGGGUGAGUAAUACCUAGGAAUCUGCCUGGUAGUGGGGGACAACGUUUCGAAAGGAACGCUAAUACCGCAUACGUCCUACGGGAGAAAGCAGGGGACCUUCGGGCCUUGCGCUAUCAGAUGAGCCUAGGUCGGAUUAGCUAGUUGGUGAGGUAAUGGCUCACCAAGGCGACGAUCCGUAACUGGUCUGAGAGGAUGAUCAGUCACACUGGAACUGAGACACGGUCCAGACUCCUACGGGAGGCAGCAGUGGGGAAUAUUGGACAAUGGGCGAAAGCCUGAUCCAGCCAUGCCGCGUGUGUGAAGAAGGUCUUCGGAUUGUAAAGCACUUUAAGUUGGGAGGAAGAGCAUUAACCUAAUACGUUAGUGUUUUGACGUUACCGACAGAAUAAGCACCGGCUAACUCUGUGCCAGCAGCCGCGGUAAUACAGAGGGUGCAAGCGUUAAUCGGAAUUACUGGGCGUAAAGCGCGCGUAGGUGGUUCGUUAAGUUGGAUGUGAAAUCCCCGGGCUCAACCUGGGAACUGCAUCCAAAACUGGCGAGCUAGAGUA